Molecule: ribosomal RNA, 399 nt
Filed under: uncultured Glomeromycotina
Lineage: Eukaryota; Fungi; Glomeromycota
Description: SSU rRNA
Rfam family: Eukaryotic small subunit ribosomal RNA
Source: RNAcentral
AGCAGCCGCGGUAAUUCCAGCUCCAAUAGCGUAUAUUAAAGUUGUUGCAGUUAAAAAGCUCGUAGUUGAAUUUCGGGAUCGAUACGUCGGUCGUGCCUUCGGUACGUACUGUCGUCAUCGGUUUCUCCCUUCUGACGAACCAUGAUGUCAUUAAUUUGGUGUUAUGGGAAAUCAGGACUGUUACUUUGAAAAAAUUAGAGUGUUUAAAGCAGGCAUUAGCUUGAAUACAUUAGCAUGGAAUAAUGAAAUAGGACGUUCGAACCUAUUUUGUUGGUUUUUAGGAUCAACGUAAUGAUUAAUAGGGAUAGUUGGGGGCAUUAGUAUUCAAUUGUCAGAGGUGAAAUUCUUGGAUUUAUUGAAGACUAACUACUGCGAAAGCAUUUGCCAAGGAUGUUUUAC